CCCUUAGAUGUCCUGGGCCGCACGCGCGUUACACUGAGUGUCUGAGAUACGAGUCUGCCUGGUCCGGCAAGGUCUAGGUAAUCGCUAAAAGACACAUCAUGCUUGGGAUAGAUUAUUGCAAAUAUUAAUCUUGAACGAGGAAUUCCUAGUAAGCGCAAGUCAACAGCUUGCGUUGAUUACGUCCCUGCCCUUUGUACACACCGCCCGUCGCUACUACUGAUUGGAUGUUUAAGCGAGGUUCUCGAACUGCUAGCGACUUAGCUUCGGUGAGGUCGCAGUGUGGGAAGUGAACCUAGCUUUGGUGUCUAGAGGAAGUAAAAGUCGUAACA
Molecule: ribosomal RNA, 329 nt
Filed under: uncultured eukaryote
Lineage: Eukaryota
Description: partial 18S ribosomal RNA
Rfam family: Eukaryotic small subunit ribosomal RNA
Source: RNAcentral